UACGUAGGGUGCGAGCGUUGUCCGGAAUUAUUGGGCGUAAAGAGCUCGUAGGCGGUUUGUUGCGUCGGCCGUGAAAACCUGUAGCUUAACUGUGGGCCUGCGGCCGAUACGGGCAGACUUGAGUUCGGUAGGGGAGACUGGAAUUCCUGGUGUAGCGGUGAAAUGCGCAGAUAUCAGGAGGAACACCGGUGGCGAAGGCGGGUCUCUGGGCCGAUACUGACGCUGAGACGCGAAAGCGUGGGGAGCAAACAGG
This 253-nucleotide ribosomal RNA is filed under the name uncultured bacterium. RNAcentral describes it as "partial 16S ribosomal RNA". It matches the Rfam family "Bacterial small subunit ribosomal RNA", at positions 524 to 776 of the family's 1533-position model. The record is from RNAcentral.